AUGCGGCGUUCACUUGAGUGGAAUGGGGGCGUGCACUUCUCCGCCUACAGCUCGCCGUGGAAGCCUUGGGCUGCUGGUAGCGCCAGAAAUAUGGUGCCCGGAGAGGCUGUGCCGCACCGGGGCGGCAGCGUGAGUGAGGCAUUGAGCCCGUGCGCCGCUGGGGCACCGCCGCACCAGGACGCCGACCGGCAAGAGAGAAGGGGAAGAAGUCGACCUCCCAUGGAGAAUAGGGAGGCAGCCAGGCAGGGAUGGGCGCGGACGGCGAGGACAAGGGAGCUCGCCGUCAACCAGGAAGACGGCGAUGGCGGCCAACCAUACUUUGUCCAGCAAGAAAGCCGCGGGUGA
Molecule: ribosomal RNA, 345 nt
Filed under: Triticum aestivum (bread wheat)
Lineage: Eukaryota; Viridiplantae; Streptophyta; Magnoliopsida; Poales; Poaceae
Description: partial small subunit ribosomal RNA
Source: RNAcentral